AUUGAACGCUGGCGGCAUGCUUUACACAUGCAAGUCGAACGGUAACAGGGAGCUUGCUCCGCUGACGAGUGGCGAACGGGUGAGUAAUGCGUCGGAACGUGCCGAGUAGUGGGGGAUAACGCAGCGAAAGUUGUGCUAAUACCGCAUACGUACUGAGGUAGAAAGUGGGGGACCUUCGGGCCUCACGCUAUUCGAGCGGCCGACGUCUGAUUAGCUAGUAGGUGAGGUAAAGGCUCACCUAGGCGACGAUCAGUAGCGGGUCUGAGAGGAUGAUCCGCCACACUGGGACUGAGACACGGCCCAGACUCCUACGGGAGGCAGCAGUGGGGAAUUUUGGACAAUGGGCGAAAGCCUGAUCCAGCCAUGCCGCGUGUCUGAAGAAGGCCUUCGGGUUGUAAAGGACUUUUGUCGGGGAGGAAAUCCCCAGCGCUAAUACCGCUGGGGGAUGACAGUACCUGAAGAAUAAGCACCGGCUAACUACGUGCCAGCCGCCGCAGUAA
Molecule: ribosomal RNA, 500 nt
Filed under: uncultured bacterium
Lineage: Bacteria
Description: partial 16S ribosomal RNA
Rfam family: Bacterial small subunit ribosomal RNA
Source: RNAcentral